Long non-coding RNA from Notothenia coriiceps (black rockcod), 692 nucleotides. RefSeq lists it as uncharacterized. The transcript has 3 exons. The record is from RefSeq and is a predicted model, not a curated record. NCBI's taxonomy places the organism in Eukaryota, Metazoa, Chordata, Actinopteri, Perciformes, Nototheniidae.
ACCCUCAGCAGUGGGUUCAGAGCCGCUCCCCCGCCCCCCAGGAAGAAGAGGAGGACAAGUGGCUGCUGAGGAAGAGGAGCCAGGCUCAGGCGGUGUGUGAGCUGUUCUCCUGUAUGAAGCUGGGAUCAGACGCUCAGCAGUGGCUGCAGAUGUGAUGCGGUGCUUCUUCUUCACGUCCUCGCUGAUCAGCCUCAUGUGACCGCGCUCUCUUCCAAUCAGGAUCCAGCGUCAUGUGAUCAGAUGUUUAGGACUCGUUAUUCUUCUGUUGAUUGGUAAACAACGCUUCAUCCUAAUGAACGUAAACACGUCCCAGAAUGCAUUAGGGGGCGGGGCCUGUGAUUAAAGGGGUUUUAUAUAAAGUGUGCGUGGUUAUAAUUAUAUAAACAGUGGGCGUGGCUACAAUUAUAUAUAAAGUGGGCGUGGCUAUGAUUAUAUAUACAGUGGGCGUGGCUAUAAUUAUAUAUACAUUAGGUUUUAUUUUAAUGGAUCUGAUUUUAACAAAUGUGUUUUUCUGAUUUGAUCUCUUCAUGAAACCCUUCCUGUUUCCUGCAGUCUGUCCGGUCACAUGACUCUGCAGUCAGCAGUGAUUGGUGCUUUUUAUUGAAGCUUUAUGACAUACAGAGCUGUGAUGUCAUCAGUACUCUUCCUGCUGUGAUUCUCUACAGUAUAAAUAAAUCAUGACAUCAUCAAUG